Molecule: ribosomal RNA, 407 nt
Filed under: uncultured bacterium
Lineage: Bacteria
Description: partial 16S ribosomal RNA
Rfam family: Bacterial small subunit ribosomal RNA
Source: RNAcentral
AUUGAACGCUGGCGGCAGGCCUAACACAUGCAAGUCGCGCGGAGCGGCUGCCGGGUGAGUAUUACCUAGGACUCUGCCUGGUAGUGGGGGCUAACGUUCGGAAACGGACGCUACUACCGCAUACUAUCAGAUGAGCCUAGGUCGCAUUCGCUAGUUGGUGAGGUAAUGGCUCACCAAGGCUACGAUCCGUAACUGGUCUGAGAGGAUGAUCAGUCACACUGUAACUGAGACACGGUCCAGACGCCUACGGGAGGCAGCAGUGGGGAAUAUUGGACAAUGGGCGAAAUCCUGAUCCAGCCAUGCCGCGUGUGUGAAGAAGGUCUUCGGAUUGUAAAGCACUUUAAGUUGGGAGGCGUUACCGACAGAAGAAGCACCGGCUAACUCUGUGCCAGCAGCCGCGGUAAUUG